RNAcentral lists this ribosomal RNA (402 nucleotides) under uncultured bacterium. Its description in RNAcentral is "partial 16S ribosomal RNA". It matches the Rfam family "Bacterial small subunit ribosomal RNA", at positions 338 to 737 of the family's 1533-position model. The record is from RNAcentral.
CCUACGGGAGGCAGCAGUGAGGAAUAUUGGUCAAUGGGCGCGAGCCUGAACCAGCCAAGUAGCGUGAAGGAUGACUGCCCUACGGGUUGUAAACUUCUUUUAUAAAGGAAUAAAGUGAGGCACGUGUGCCUUUUUGUAUGUACUUUAUGAAUAAGGAUCGGCUAACUCCGUGCCAGCAGCCGCGGUAAUACGGAGGAUCCGAGCGUUAUCCGGAUUUAUUGGGUUUAAAGGGAGCGUAGAUGGGUUGUUAAGUCAGUUGUGAAAGUGUGCGGCUCAACCGUAAAAUUGCAAUUGAUACUGGUAGUGUGGAGUACAGUUGAGGGAGGAGUAAGUGGUGGUGUAGUGGUGAAAUGAGUAGACAUGAAGAAGAACGACGAUGGAGAAGGCAGAUUAGUAAACUGC